This 465-nucleotide ribosomal RNA is filed under the name Vreelandella stevensii. RNAcentral describes it as "partial 16S ribosomal RNA". It matches the Rfam family "Bacterial small subunit ribosomal RNA", at positions 338 to 795 of the family's 1533-position model. The record is from RNAcentral. Lineage: Bacteria; Pseudomonadati; Pseudomonadota; Gammaproteobacteria; Oceanospirillales; Halomonadaceae.
CCUACGGGUGGCAGCAGUGGGGAAUAUUGGACAAUGGGCGAAAGCCUGAUCCAGCCAUGCCGCGUGUGUGAAGAAGGCCUUCGGGUUGUAAAGCACUUUCAGUGGGGAAGAAAGCCUUGGGGCUAAUACCCUCGAGGAAGGACAUCACCCACAGAAGAAGCACCGGCUAACUCCGUGCCAGCAGCCGCGGUAAUACGGAGGGUGCGAGCGUUAAUCGGAAUUACUGGGCGUAAAGCGCGCGUAGGCGGUCUGAUAAGCCGGUUGUGAAAGCCCCGGGCUCAACCUGGGAACGGCAUCCGGAACUGUCAGGCUAGAGUGCAGGAGAGGAAGGUAGAAUUCCCGGUGUAGCGGUGAAAUGCGUAGAGAUCGGGAGGAAAACCAGUGGCGAAGGCGGCCUUCUGGACUGACACUGACGCUGAGGUGCGAAAGCGUGGGUAGCAAACAGGAUUAGAUACCCCAGUAGUC